This 44-nucleotide ribosomal RNA is filed under the name Garcinia gnetoides. RNAcentral describes it as "partial 18S ribosomal RNA". It matches the Rfam family "Eukaryotic small subunit ribosomal RNA", at positions 1789 to 1831 of the family's 1831-position model. Lineage: Eukaryota; Viridiplantae; Streptophyta; Magnoliopsida; Malpighiales; Clusiaceae. The record is from RNAcentral.
UCGUAACAAGGUUUCCGUAGGUGAACCUGCGGAAGGAUCAUUGU